AUGGUACUAGGAGAAAAACUUGUUAGUUGUCUGUCUCUUACUUUGACAACUAAUGUGUAAUGCAAACUUUAUGAUAGGUACAUAUGCAUAAAGAAAGUAGUAAAUAUCAUAUGAUCACUGAGGGGGCAUGAACAUGAAUGUAUACUUUGAGGGAAUGGGGAGGUCAGUUAUUGAAACACAUAUUGCAGGUAAAUUUCAAAAUUAAUGCACCAAAUAAAGGCAGCCAUAUGUAUGAGAAUGGAUUAGGCUCCAUCCUCUGAGGUUAUAAGAACAAUCUGUCGAGAGAGCAGUGGUUGCUUCUGGGAGUAAUGUUGGAAAUUAACUGGGAAGGAGACAGAGGAAUUCUCUGGAUUUGAGUUACACAGAUUUAUGCAUUUGCCAAAAGUCAGAGAAUGUAUACUUAAAAUGCUUGCAUUUUUAUUAUGUGAAAAUUUACAUUGGAUAACAAAUUCUGCAUAAAAAAAUGCUGAAACUAUUGAUGAGAAAGUAAUCUGUUGAGGGGGAAGAUUGAUGUUUGUGGUACAUGUUUGGGAGCUGAUGAUACAGGUAUUUGGAUAGAUCAUUAUAUCUGUUUUAACACAAGCAUAUUCACUGUAAAAUUCUUUGGAUUGUCUAGAAUAUUUAAGAACACUUUUUUUGCUUCUCUUUUUUUGCUCAUUUUGUUUUGAGACAAGGUCUUACUUUGUAGCCUUCGUUGGCCUGGAAAUUACCUUGUAGGCUAGACUGGCCUCAGACUCACAGAGAUCCACCUGCCUCUGCCUCCAAAGUGCUGCUGGGAUUAAAGAUAUAAGAUACUAUAUCCGGCCCUGUUUAAGAAUUUUUAUUCAAAAUUUUGGGAAUUUGUUGACCUUAAGAUAUCUAUACCAUGGAGCAUUUUACAGCAACAAAAAAGACAAAUGUCAAGACAUGAUGAGAUGUGGAUACAUCUUACAAACCUCAUAUGGAGCAAAGAAAAGAAUGAUGGAUCACAGAAUGAUACACACAUUAUCCCCGUUAGCCAUGGGAAUGUGUGUAUCUGGAGAGUUUCUCUCUGGGUAUCGCCAAGUCCUCGCAGUCCCACAGCCCACUUAUAAAAUAAACACACAGACACUUAUGUUAUUUAAACUGUUUGGCCUAAUGGCUCAGGCUUCUUGCUAGCUGAUCUUAUAUCUUAAAUUAACCCAUUUCUAUUAAUCUAUAAGUUGCCACAUGGUUCGUGGCUUACCGGUAUCUUAACAUCUUCUCAUGGCAGCGGCUGGCAGCGUCUCUCUGCCUUAGCCUUCCACUUCCCAGAAUUCUCCUCUCUCUUUGUCCUGCCUAUACUUCCUGCCUGGCUACUGGCCAAUCAGCACUUUAUUUAUUAACCAAUCAGAGCAACACAUUCACAGCAUAGAAAACAUCCCACAGCAAAUGUGUUCUAGGACCACAGUGAGCGCCUGAGAGCAUCAGGAAUAUCCAACCCUACAUGUACCAAUUUACCUGUACAUUCAUGCCUAUGGUGAAGUUUAACGAUAGACCCAUUUUUGAUAUUAUAGUCUGGUAAAAGUUAUAUGGCUGUUCAGUAUCUCUGUCUUCCUGUCUCUGUCUGUCUCUCUCGUUCUCCCUAAAAAUGCCCUAAUUCCUCAUUGCAUUGUAGUAAUAUUUUGCAUCAUGGCUGCCACAAGUAAUUGAAACUGUAGAAUGUAAACCAUGCUAAUGAGGGACUGGUGUAAUGUAAGAUUUUAUUAAUACUUGAUACAAAGGCAGGUAACCUUUUGCGUAGGAAAUAGCAUUGUUUGUGUUUAGGAAGAAUGAAGAAUUCAUGGGGUGGGCAUGACAGAUUUCUAAAGCACUGGAGAAAUUUUUGUUUCUUGAUUUGAGUAGGCAAUUCCAGUGAUAUACCCAUUUAUGAAAAUUCAAUGAUUUGUACACUAUUUUGUAUACAUUGAAAAUAUAAUUGCUAAAAUGAAAAUCAAUCAGGGUAGGCCUCAUGUGCAAAGAUAAGCUUGUAUCUAAGAAUAUGAAAUAGAAAGAUAGAAGAAGGAAAAUGCAAAACUUGAAAUGGAGGACAGGAUUACACAGGAUGGCCAAUAUCUGCUUGAAAGCAGUUCCAAAGGAGAGAAUAUAGAAAGUUUAGGAAAGGAAAUUAUCAUAGAAAAAAACUAUAAAAGUUGAGGGAAAACAUGAACCUUCAGACUGAAACUAGUAACAAUAGACACAUUUUGGAGGAAAGACAUAACUUGAAAUAUCAUUGUGAAAUUCCACACUACCACCUUUAAAGAAAAGACACUAAAAUGUAUAAAGAGAAACUGCUAAGAAAAAAAAAAUUAUGUAAAGGAGGAGAAAUUGGAUGUGUAUCAGACCUAUUAGCAAUGUUGGAGAGUAAAGAGACAAGGAGAUGAUGCUUCAUGGUUUUGUGUAAAAUGUAAUUUUAAAUUUAUUUUUUACUUUUAUGAGUGUUUUUCCUACAUUUGUAUAUGUGCACUAUGUACAUGACUUGGUGCACAUGGAGGCUAGAAUAGAAUGGAGAUCCCCUAAAACUGGAGUUACAAAUGAUUGUGAGUUACCAUGUGGAUGCUGGGAAUUGAACCCGGAUCUUUUAGAACAGAAAGUGCUUUUAGUUGCUAAGCCAUGUCUCUAGUCUCAUGAUAUGUAUGUAAGGUUUAUAUUCCUGUAUGAAAAAGCAUAACAAAGCUCAUUACUUUGUUCAAUUAAUAUAUGCUAAUAAAAAUUUAAAAAAAGAAGUCUGUAUUCCAGAUAACCCAUGUAUCAAAGUUAUUGAAGACAAAAAGACCAAAGAUCAAAUUUUCAAAGGCCUUUGAAUUUUGUCAGUAAUACUUCAACUCAUUUCUUUUCAUUCUUAAACCAAAUACUACCGAAAAACAACCCAAAGGCAUCUCAGAAUCCAAAAUUUUCUGUUUAGUUUUUAAAGGAAAACCAAAAGCAGUUUGAAAGAAAUCUAGACUCAGCAGAUGGUCCUUUGUCACUGUUUGGGAACAAUGCAGGUUGUCACAAACUGUGAGGGGAGCCACCUGCAAUUCAUGCUCCACCAGUGUGAAUUAAUGAGCAGCUUUGUGUCUCUUUCUGAGUCCCUCACAGCUCAAAUUCUCCACAGUUUAGUGUAUGUACUGCCGUGCUCUUGACCAGUGCUUAGCUGUGAGUAUCUCAUGAGAAAUUUGGGUUUUUCAUUAUAAAGUAAAAUAUUAAACAUAGAGCAUAACUAUAAUCCUGUGCUCUUAAAAUAUAAAUAAAAACUUGCAAAAAUGUUUGAAUUUGAAAAAAAAAUCAUGUGCUCUUAACUCUCAGUGCUAUUACUUUGGCUGAAUAAUGGUUUUAGUAUACAUUGCUUAUCCUGAGAACCAGAGGAUCAACUCAGUUUAUCUCCUUUGGCCCUCACAGUUACCUGUGGAGAAUUCCAUCUAGAUCUGAGAAGUGGAUUAACUUGUCCAAAGCUACAAAACAGAAGCACCAUUAUCAGAACGCAGGUCGUGUUAUUCCACGGUCUGUCUUCUCCCUUCACUGUGUUCCUCUAAGUUUCACUGAUUCUUCAGUGAAUAUUGACUGACACAAACAUCAAAUUAUGAAUGAGAUUUCUCAGCCUUUGCUUUUUCUAAUUAGUCUAAAUAAAUUUUUUUCAUGCUUACUCAUAGAUACAGACCAAAAACCCUAACAUUUCAUAUCUUAGCAAUAUCAACUGGUGCUAUACUAACAGUUACAGGAAUUUAAGGAUGGAAAGAUGGGGUAAAGACAGAAGAGCAUGCAUCCCCUGUGUCACCAAGGCAGAAUCAUGAAAGGGUGUUCAUCCUAUCUAAUACACUCCUUGGGGGGACUUUUGUCCCUGUGGGUUCUUUGUGCAUCUUCCACAAACCAGUGCACUGUGAGACAUGAAGUAGCUGACUGCAGCCAUUUGAAGCUGACACAUAUACCUGAUGACCUUCCUGCUAACAUAACGGUGUUGAAUCUUACCCACAACCAACUCAGAGGCUUACCACCGACCAAUUUUACAAGAUACAGCCAACUCACUAUCUUGGAUGUGGGAUUUAACUCCAUUUCAAAACUGGAGCCAGGACUGUGCCUAACACUCCCUUUGUUGAAAGUCUUGAACUUCCAGCACAAUGAGCUAUCGCAGAUUUCCGAAAAAACUUUCAUCUUCUGCAGGAACCUGACGGAACUCUAUCUAAUGUCUAACUCAAUACACAAAAUUAAAAGCAACCCUUUCAAAAACCAGAAGAAUUUAAUCAAGUUAGAUCUGUCGCAUAACGGCCUAUCAUCAACGAAGUUGGGAACUGAAGUCCAACUGGAAGACCUCCGGGAGCUCCUCUUAUCGAAUAAUAAGAUCCUUGCACUAAGAAGUGAAGAACUCGAUUUCCUUAGCAAUUCUUCUCUACAAAAAUUGGACUUGUCAUCCAACCCGCUUAGAGAGUUUUCUCCAGGGUGUUUUCAUGCAAUCGGCAAUUUAUCCGCUCUCCUUUUGAACAACGCCCAACUAGACCUCCACCUCACGGAGAAGCUCUGUUCGGAACUUUCAAAUACAAGCAUCCAGAAUCUCUCUCUGGCUAACAACCAGCUUCUGGCAACCAGCCUCGCGACUUUCUCCGGGCUGAAGCAGACCCAUCUCACGUCGCUGGAUCUCUCCUACAACAGCCUACGCGAUGUGGGUAACGAUACCUUCUCUUGGCUCCCACACCUCAGGUACCUGUCUCUGCAGUACAAUAACAUACAGUGUUUGUCUCCUCGCUCUUUCUAUGGACUUUCCAAUCUGAGGUACCUGAAUUUGAAGCGAGCAUUUACUAGACAAAGUAUUUCCCUUGCUUCUCACCCCAAGAUCGAUGAUUUUUCUUUUCAGUGGCUAAAAUAUUUGGAAUAUCUCAACAUGGAUGAUAAUAAUAUUCCGGGCACAAAAAGCAAUAUGUUCACGGGCUUGACGAGUCUGAAGUAUCUAAGUCUUUCCAAAACUUUCACAAGUUUGCAAACUUUAACAAAUGAAACGUUUUUGUCACUUGCUCAUUCUCCUUUGCUCACACUCAAUUUAACGAAAAAUCACAUCUCAAAAAUAGCAGGUGGUGCUUUCUUGUGGUUGGGCCAACUCAGGGUACUUGACCUUGGCCUUAAUGACAUUGAUCAAGAACUCACAGGCCAGGAGUGGAGAGGUCUGAGAAAUAUAUUUGAGAUCUACCUGUCCUAUAACAAAUAUCUCCAACUGACUAGCAAUUCCUUUGCUCUGGUUCCCGGUCUUCAGAGACUGAUGCUCAGGAGGGUGGCACUAAAAAAUGCGGAAAUCUCCCCCUCCCCUUUCCGCCCUCUCCGUAACUUGACUAUUCUGGACUUAAGCAACAACAACAUCGCCAACAUAAAUGAGGACUUUUUGGAGGGUCUGGAGAAUCUAGAAAUCCUGGAUUUUCAGCACAACAACUUAGCAAGGCUCUGGAAACACGCAAACCCUGGCGGUCCUGUUAAUUUCCUGAAGGGCCUGUCUCACCUCCACAUCCUGAAUUUGGAGUCUAACGGCUUUGACGAAAUCCCAGUCGGGGUGUUCAAGAACUUAUUUGAACUAAAGAGCAUCAAUCUAGGACUGAAUAAUUUAAACAUACUUCUACCAUCUAUUUUUGAUGACCAGAUGUCUCUAAGGUCAUUGAACCUUCAGAAGAACCUCAUCACGUCGGUGGAGAAGAAUGUUUUUGGGCCAGCUUUUCAGAACCUGAGUAGUUUAGAUAUGCGCUUUAACCCAUUUGAUUGUACAUGUGAAAGUAUUGCCUGGUUUGUUAACUGGAUCAACCAGACCCACGCUAACAUCUCUGAGCUACCGACUCAUUACCUCUGCAACACCCCGCCUCAGUAUCAUGGCUUCCCAGUGAUGCACUUUGAUACAUCAUCCUGUAAAGACAGUGCCCCCUUUGAACUUUUCUUCAUGAUUAAUACCAGUGUGCUCAUGACUUUUAUACUUAUGGCGUUGCUCAUUCACUUUGAGGGCUGGAGGAUAUCUUUUUACUGGAAUGUUUCGGUUCAUCGGGUUCUUGGUUUCAAGGAAAUUGAAGCACAGCCUGAACAGUUUGAAUAUACAGCAUACAUAAUUCAUGCCCAUCAAGACAGAGACUGGGUUUGGAAACACUUCUCCCCAAUGGAGGAACAAGACCAAUCUCUCAAAUUCUGCCUAGAAGAAAGGGACUUUGAAGCAGGUGUCCUUGGACUUGAAGCAAUUGUCAACAGCAUCAAAAGAAGCAGAAAAAUCAUUUUUGUUAUAACAUACCAUCUAUUAAAAGACCCUCUGUGCAAAAGAUUCAAGGUACACCAUGCGGUUCAGCAAGCUAUUGAGCAAAAUCUGGAUUCAAUUAUAUUGAUUUUUCUUCAAGAUAUUCCAGAUUAUAAACUAAACCACGCACUCUGUUUGCGAAGAGGAAUGUUUAAAUCCCGUUGCAUCUUGACCUGGCCAGUUCAGAAAGAACGGAUAAAUGCCUUUCAUCAUAAAUUGCAAGUAGUACUUGGGUCACGAAAUUCAGCACAUUAAAUUUAUUUGGAGAUUAAGUUGACAAAGGGAUACAUCCAAUUUAUAAAGGUCCGUCAUAAAUCUGAGUUUUAGCCGGGCGGUGGUGGCGCACGCCUUUAAUCCCAGCACUUGGGAGGCAGAGCCAGGAGGAUCUCUGUGAGUUCGAGGCCAGCCUGGGCUACCAAGUGAGUUCCAGGAAAGGCGAAAAGCUACACAGAGAAACCCUGUCUCAAAAAACCAAAAAAAAAAAAAAUCUGAGUUUUACUUGAAAGCUUCUUAUGUUUAUAUGUAUAGAUGAUGAUGUUGUAUCAUAAUUGAAUCUCAUUUUUUGAAAUAUUUCUUAUUUCAGGCCUCUUAUCAACAAUUGUUUUAUUUACCUACUCCAAACAAAUACCUGGGCAGUUAAGAGCAUCCUCUGUUAAUGACUUCACAGUUGAUCUCUGAGGUGUAUCACAGCUUCAAAGGGGUUUUAAGGCUCCUCUCUUCUCACAGUACCCUUGAGAAUGAACUGACUUUGGAAAUCCCACAUGCAGUGUUUGGAAGAAAGAACAAUCAAUGGUGAUCAGGAGAGGGGUGAAUAGGUGUAGAAGGCUAUAAAGAAGUGGUGUUUGCUCUGUCCUGCAAGUAGCAGGGAGCCUUCCAGCAGCAGAGAAGACCAAGAAUUGGAAAAUAUGCUCCUCACUCAGUGCUGAAUGCCUACAAAAGUCGCUUGUGAUUGUACCGCAUGGCAACUUUACUUAUUCUCUUCCAUUUGUCUUAUCUGUUCACUUUUUAAAAUUAGUAUGGACUUAAUGUAAACUUGUAUUUUGUGUUAAAGAAUCAUACUAUUUGAUGGUUUUGUUCAAAUUGUUUUAGUAUUGGAUUUAGGGAGCCCUUCUAGCAAUCACUUGUGUCUCUUUUUCCCUUCGACAUACUGUAUCAUCAUCUCUCUCUCUCUCUCUCUCUCUCUCUCUCUCUCUCUCUCUCUCUCUCUCUCUCUCUCUCUCUCUCUCUCGUGUGUGUGUGUGUGUGUGUGUGUGUGUGUGUGUGUGUGUGUGUGUGAGAAAAUUUACUUUUUGGAAUUGCAUUGUGCUUCAAAGUAAUCCUGGAUAUUCCCUUGCUCCCUGUUUAAGCAAUCUACAAGGAGUCUUGGAUCCUUUCAAUCUAGAACAGCAUUAUUACACCUUGAUGUGCUUGUUAGUAAGUGACUGCCUUCCGUGCUUCCAAAGCAAGCAAUGUGAGUGAAAAUCGACUCAUACAUAUGUAUCUAUAAAUAUUGCCUUAUCUGUACACAUCUAAUAUGUAUAUUAAAUUAACUAGUCUGGAUGUUAAAAUGAACAAUAGUGCAUUUUGGCAUCUCCAACUCUAAUUCAUUAUCACAUUGAUCACCUUAAUCUUUGCCUUGCUUUUCUGUGGCCAUCCAUGCUAUCGUAGAUCACUGUCUCUGUACUUAAUCAUGCAAUUCUAUAUUUACCAGUAUCAGAAUUGCUAACCCCCAUGCUGGGGAAAGCAACUUUCGUAGCUACACUAAAAUGCUUAUAUGCAAUGCCUUUUGCGUUAGUUUUACAUUCUGUUUUCUAAAGUUGCUUCAGCUAGCAUUUGCCCCUCGCUCCCUUCAAUAAGGUUAAUAUGUCCUUUUGUAAUAUAGCUAGAUUCUGUUGUCAGUCUGUACUCUACCCUGUGAUUUCUGGAUUUCUGGAAUUGUUUGGGUUUUGUUUGCAUACACAAAGGCUUAUGCUUUGUGUGGUAAAGUUUUAUGGGUUUUGACAAAUGCAUAACAUAUUAAACUUUAUCACUUUGCAAUCUUAUCGGAUAGUUUUCUCACCCUAAAACAUGCCCUAUGAAUUAUCAUUAAAAGGGGCUGAGGCAGUAACUUAGUGGUUAAGGGUGCUUGCUCCUCUUGCAGAAGACUUGAAUUUGGUUCCCAGCACAUCGGUCAGGUGGCUUUCAACCACCUAUAACUUUAUCUGCAAGAGAUCUAAUGCCGUCUUCUGGUCUAGGAGGACAUCUACAUGAAAAUGUGCAUACUCACACAUAGACACAUACAGAAACAGAAAUAAAAAUAAGAUAAAAUUUCUAAAAUUAUUUAUUCAAAUUUGGCUUCUCUUGGAACCCAUAUCAACUAUGGCCUAUUUACUAACUUUGUAGGUUUACGUUUUACAUAAUGGCAUAUUGGCAUAUGAAUAAAGUCUUAGUGUGUCGCUAAAAACUGCUGAGUUCAU
RNA transcript from Peromyscus californicus insignis, 8643 nucleotides. It is a transcript of the gene named toll like receptor 3, with no coding region annotated. The transcript is spliced from 6 exons. Lineage: Eukaryota; Metazoa; Chordata; Mammalia; Rodentia; Cricetidae. The record is from RefSeq and is a predicted model, not a curated record.